ACACAUGAGUACAGCUCACACAGGGAAAGGGGAAAACAGCAACCUCUUGAGCUGGAGCCUUAGGCUAGAAAAGAUCACUGAUUACCCACCUGUUCCCCCUGGAUACUAGGGCUUCAAUCCAGAAGGUGCUGUGAUGAAGUGGCUUCAGCAAAAUAUUACCUGAGACAUCCUGAUCCAUUAUGAGAACGGCAGCAGCAGGAUUUGGCCUGGGGAUGGAACAAAGGGACCCCCUGCUGUAGAGCAAGGGAGAAGGGAAUUUUAAAGAAGAGAUUGCAUCAAUAAAGAUUCUUUUAGCAUUAUUUUUAUCAUUAUAAAAAUUACACAUACUUGUUUUAGAUUAUUUGAAAACUUCAGAGCUGUAAAGAUGAAAAUAAAAAUUGCUUAUUAUCUUAAUCGGCAAAAUUAACCAUCCUUAACAUUUUUAUAUGUCUUUUAGUUAUUUUGUAUGCCUAUGUUUAUAAUGAAACAGUUUUGAAUUUUUUAACGUAUU
This 490-nucleotide long non-coding RNA is filed under the name Homo sapiens (human). RNAcentral's name for it is "HSALNT0394045". The record is from RNAcentral. Lineage: Eukaryota; Metazoa; Chordata; Mammalia; Primates; Hominidae.